Molecule: transfer RNA, 86 nt
Filed under: Termitomyces sp. J132
Lineage: Eukaryota; Fungi; Basidiomycota; Agaricomycetes; Agaricales; Lyophyllaceae
Also listed under: 2 other names
Rfam family: tRNA
About the family: Transfer RNA (tRNA) molecules are approximately 80 nucleotides in length. Their secondary structure includes four short double-helical elements and three loops (D, anti-codon, and T loops).
Source: Rfam by way of RNAcentral
GCCCGCCUAGCUCAAUCGGAUAGAGCGUCAGACUCUUACUAGGCGUCGGUAUCUGAAGGCUGCGAGUUCGACCCUCGCGGUGGGCU